GGCCGGGUAGUCUAGCACGGUAUGAUACUUGGUUUGGGACUAAGUGGUCGCGGAUUCAAAUUCCGCCCCGGCCACCA
This 77-nucleotide transfer RNA is filed under the name Candidatus Heimdallarchaeota archaeon. RNAcentral's name for it is "tRNA-Pro". It matches the Rfam family "tRNA". Rfam says of the family: Transfer RNA (tRNA) molecules are approximately 80 nucleotides in length. Their secondary structure includes four short double-helical elements and three loops (D, anti-codon, and T loops). RNAcentral also lists the same sequence under 1 other name. Lineage: Archaea; Promethearchaeati; Candidatus Heimdallarchaeota. The record is from RNAcentral.